AGUCCUCAAAUCGUGGUUUAAAGACUUCAAGUAGCAGAGAAUCCUCCAGCAAGUGAGCUGUGCCCCAUGCUACAGAGGAAGGCAAAAAACCGCCAGGGCCUCUUCCAAUCUGCCCUGGAGGAAAAGACUUAUCAGGAUGGGGAAAUAAGAUUUGUGCAUGGAAGUUUGGGCACUGAUAUGAAUACUCAGGAUAGUGCCAUGACCCUAUAAGAGGGCGAACCACCAUGUGGAGAGGAUUCUUUUUCCUUUACCCUUAAGGCCUCUCUUGUUUUGGCGAUCAGCUCAGCUUUUGCAAUACAGUUUAACGACUAAACACCCGAUCCUGAUAGCCACCAUCUCAGGAGUGGAGGAACCUGGACCAUCGAAUGCAUUGAGCAUGCCAGAGACCAGGCUGAUCCUUCGUCUCCCACUACCAGGUCCCCAAGGAAGGGCGUAAAGGGUCAAGGCCUGUCAAACGUCAAGGAAGAGGAGUCUUCUUUCUCCUGCGGAAGUGUGAGGUUUUGGGAAGAACACAGGGAAGCAGAUCUCGCUCCUUCCUGAUCAUUGAUGUAGAAGAGACAGUUGUAACGUUGUCUGACAUUAUAAGGACCCUGGUGAGAAAGGCCUCGCAUGUCUUCUGGACUGCUAGCAACUCCAGGAUAUCGAUGUGCAUCCUGGACUCUCAAGACAUCCAGGCCGAAGCUGAAGCUAUGGACCGUGUAGGUUCCGACCUGGACCUUGUGGUGGUGAGAAGGAACUGGAGACACAGUCAGUCUGCCCUACACUUUUCGUCUCCUCAUACAGAGGCAUGAGCAGCAGAGAUGUGCCAGAAACCACCUGCCUAAAAGGAGUGCUGCCGAGAUCCAAUCCUGCUUAGCUGGAAGAUCCAAGAGCAGCCAAGCGCAAGGACCUGACUUUGGGCACCCUGCUUGACUGAUGUGUUGGGAGGUAGAUUUGGACACUGGAUGGACUUCCUGCCUUGCUGAACUUUGACUCCCUGCCUAACCCGGUCCUCCCAGAACCGUUCCUAGGCUAGCAAGUUUCUCACUGGCAACAGGGCCAAGCUUUUCCUGAGCUGAAGAGAGACGUAUGGUAGAAGUUGUACUAGGACAUCUAUUUUGAGUCGCCUAAGCUGGAAGUGCCUGUCACAGUACUGCACUUCCCAAUCCAGGCAAAUAAUGUUACAGGCCACAGUAUGGGAAGACAUUGGCUAUGCCAAGACUCUCCCAUCCACAAGGAAUUUUGCAGAAGGUUGAAACAAAGGAAUCGCUUUUCUAGAAGCCCACUCUGUGUUGUGGCCAUGUUUAGGAGCUCUGGUCAUGGACCAGGACCCAGUGUGCUAGGAGCUGUACAAACCUGGCAGCAGCACAGAUCACAGAAUGCUAUAUGUGCAUCCAGAGCACAGUGCAAUGCAAAACCCGCCAUUAGCUUCCCUGUCCACACAGUCACUGGCCACUAUGCCCACUGUACUAAUGGCAAAUCUCUCAUUCCCGGUGGCAAGGGUGGCCCCCAGGAUUAGCACUGUCCUGCCCCUGCUCGGACUUUAAUGCCCUGAAUUCCAGGGGGAAACGGAAGCUCCCCAGGAGGCAGCUCUCCGUUCAUAUGUCUUCCAAUUUCUAGUUUGGAGGAGAAAAUUAGUGGAAAGGCUAAAUGAAAAGCUGCCAGCCCUCAGGACGAACAGCAAUUCAAACGAGCACCCUGAAUCGCUGCCUCACAUCUCCUCCAUGCGCCCAGGCUCCUGCUUUGCCAAUCUUCCCCGGCAACACCUACUUGCAGGGAAUGCUGGCUGCCCAGCCAGACAGGCCGCUGGCUGAUCACACAAACAGCAAGGGCAGACACACCGGAGAAGUGCAGAGCAUAUGAAGGGAAUCCCUGGCUGUCAGAGUUUUGAAGGAGAUGACAGAGUGGGUGCGGAAUGGAAAAGGUUCGGGUCUGGCCUGACAGGUAAGGGCAAAGCCCAGCAUGUCCUGCCACAGGAGAGGGGUGGGUUGCAGAACCACCAUAGCAAAACACAAUGCGUUUCAGUGUUGCAGGAGGGGACAGUCGGAACAGUACUCGACAGACUGGCAAAUGGGAAGUCAGCAGCCUGCCAAAGGGUUUAUUGAGCUCUUUGGGGCUGAGAGUAUCCUAGCAUCAUAGACUAUCAGGGUUGGAAGGGACCUCAGGAGGUCAUCUAGUCCAACCCCCUGCUUAAAGCAGGACCUAAUCCCCAACUAAA
Molecule: long non-coding RNA, 2197 nt
Organism: Dermochelys coriacea (leatherback sea turtle)
Lineage: Eukaryota; Metazoa; Chordata; Testudines; Dermochelyidae
Exons: 6
Source: RefSeq, a predicted model, not a curated record